RNAcentral lists this ribosomal RNA (401 nucleotides) under Paenibacillus macerans. RNAcentral's name for it is "bacterial LSU rRNA". It matches the Rfam family "Bacterial large subunit ribosomal RNA", at positions 1 to 391 of the family's 2925-position model. The record is from RNAcentral. Lineage: Bacteria; Bacillati; Bacillota; Bacilli; Caryophanales; Paenibacillaceae.
AUGGUUAAGCUACUAAGAGCACACGGAGGAUGCCUAGGCGCUAGGAGCCGAAGAAGGACGUGGCGAACAACGAAACUGCCUCGGGGAGCUGUAAGCAAGCAUCGAUCCGGGGAUGUCCGAAUGGGGAAACCCGGCUGGGGUAAUACCUAGUCACUCAUCACUGAAUCCAUAGGUGGUGAAGAGGCAUACCAGGGGAACUGAAACAUCUAAGUACCCUGAGGAAGAGAAAACAAUAGUGAUUCCGUCAGUAGCGGCGAGCGAACGCGGAUUAGCCUAAACCGAAGAGCUUGCUCUUCGGGGUUGUGGGACGUCUCACAUGGAGUUACAAAGGCAGAGGUUAGACGAACAGGUCUGGAAAGGCCGGCCAGAGAAGGUAAAAGCCCUGUAAUCGAAAGUCUCUG